AUACGGAGGAUGCGAGCGUUAUCCGGAUUUAUUGGGUUUAAAGGGUGCGUAGGCUGUGCGUUAAGUCAGGGGUGAAAUGCCGUCGCUCAACGACGGAGCUGCCCUUGAUACUGGCGUGCUGGAGUACGGAUGCCGUUGGAGGAAUGAGUGGUGUAGCAGUGAAAUGCUUAGAUAUCACUCAGAACACCGAUUGCGAAGGCAUCUGACGAAUCCGUCACUGACGCUGAGGCACGAAAGCGUGGGGAUAGAACAGGAUUAGAUACCCUGGUAUUCCACGCCGUAAACGAUGAUGACUAACCGUCGGCGAUAGACAGCCGGUGGCCAAGCGAAAGCGAUAAGUCAUCCACCUGGGGAGUACGGCGGCAACGAUGAAACUCAAAUGAAUUGACGGGG
RNAcentral lists this ribosomal RNA (393 nucleotides) under uncultured bacterium. RNAcentral's name for it is "partial 16S ribosomal RNA". It matches the Rfam family "Bacterial small subunit ribosomal RNA", at positions 523 to 918 of the family's 1533-position model. The record is from RNAcentral.